This 497-nucleotide ribosomal RNA is filed under the name uncultured bacterium. RNAcentral's name for it is "partial 16S ribosomal RNA". It matches the Rfam family "Bacterial small subunit ribosomal RNA", at positions 28 to 507 of the family's 1533-position model. The record is from RNAcentral.
GAUGAACGCUGGCGGCGUGCCUAAUACAUGCAAGUCGAGCGAACGGACGAGAAGCUUGCUUCUCUGAUGUUAGCGGCGGACGGGUGAGUAACACGUGGAUAACCUACCUAUAAGACUGGGAUAACUUCGGGAAACCGGAGCUAAUACCGGAUAAUAUUUUGAACCGCAUGGUUCAAAAGUGAAGGACGGUCUUGCUGUCACUUAUAGAUGGAUCCGCGCUGCAUUAGCUAGUUGGUAAGGUAACGGCUUACCAAGGCAACGAUGCAUAGCCGACCUGAGAGGGUGAUCGGCCACACUGGAACUGAGACACGGUCCAGACUCCUACGGGAGGCAGCAGUAGGGAAUCUUCCGCAAUGGGCGAAAGCCUGACGGAUCAACGCCGCGUGAGUGAUGAAGGUCUUCGGAUCGUAAAACUCUGUUAUUAGGGAAGAACAUAUGUGUAAGUAACUGUGCACAUCUUGACGGUACCUAAUCAGAAAGCCACGGCUAACUACGUG